UUCUGAAGAAAAUUUGAGUUUAUCUGAAGAAAUUUGAAAGAAAUCCGAAGAAGCUGUGUCCAGUCCACGGUGUCCAGUGCAUGCAAUAUUCGGUCUAUUUGGUGCUUGUAGACGUAUAGAAUUCUACAAUGUGUUAGCGAUGUGAAGGAAGAAGUUUCAGUCUUCAUGAUGCAUCUUAAAGCGAACGUCUGGUACAACCUUAGCAGAUAGUAGUGCCUAUAUAUGAAUAUUAGAAUACCCAAAAGUUACAGUGAUUUGAAAAGCGACACAUUUGCUGAAAGGGAUGUGAUGAAUUUGAGAGAGAAUAAAAACAAUAUUGCUAGGAAGUUAGAAUUUGUUAGCUGCAGAAAAAACAUGGAUGAAAAUCAUGAAAGAAAUUUUUGCA
Molecule: long non-coding RNA, 385 nt
Organism: Zophobas morio
Lineage: Eukaryota; Metazoa; Arthropoda; Insecta; Coleoptera; Tenebrionidae
Exons: 3
Source: RefSeq, a predicted model, not a curated record